AAAAAAAAAAGGUAGAUACUUAGAUAUCACCGUUACAGGUUUUGAAUUUGUUGAUUUAUCCUUUUAGAACUCAAGAAGAAUUGGCCAAUAAAACCAAUUCAAAAAGUGCAAGAAAUGUAACAGACUAUUAUAGCUGUUCGAAGCAUUGUGAUUUUAAAGACGAAAUAGUGGACCUCGAAACUAAGGAUAUCGUGUGCUUUCACUGGCUAUUUCCUCACUCUCUUUAGCCUUACAAAGUACAAACGCAAUUCUAUUAGCUUGGUUGCGGUUUCAAGAGUUAUUGAACGUUCUGUAUGACUGAUACAAUGUUUGAAAAUUAUUGUGUUUGCGGAAUAUUUGUGACUGAUUGAUUAUAAGAUAUUGCAGUGGUUUAAUAAUAUAAAUUACCAAUAUUAACAAAUUAUAACAUUAUAAAAAUAUAAAAACAUACUAUUGUAAUAAAAUAUAAUAAUUAUCAAUAUAAUAUGAUUAAUAAUAAUAUUAUGCUCAUUUAUUUAAUUAUUAAAAUUAAUUGAAAGUUAUAAUUUUAAUUAUUUAUUUUUUUGAAGAUUUAUAUUAAACUUUUAAAAGAAUAUUUUGUUUCGUUUUAUAUAUGUGUAUAUCUUUAUAUAUGGAUGUAUAUUAAUUUUUAAAAAUUCUAAUGAAUGGUUAGUUUUAAGUUUUUAUAAAAAAAAUUAUGAUACUGUUUGUGAAUUUAAAUUAAUAUAUAAAAUAUGUAUAUUUUUAUUUUUAAUAUUUCAAUUUUAAAAUUUUAAUUUUAAAAUUUUAAAAUAUUUUUGAAAAAAUAUAUUUAUAUAUCCACCGCAACCGCAAAUGAUAGUUGUAACCAACUUUUGAUUUUAAGAGAUUCAGAGCGGUUUGAAGCGACUUGUAGCGGUUUGUAUUAUUAUUUCGAAAUACUGUCAACCGUUACCAAUUGCAAAAACUGCGUUUGCGGAUGGUAGUAGAAAAACCAAUCAAGGCCUAAGUGUAUGUUUUAAUCAUAUUGCUCUCAUUAUUCUCUCUUAAACUAUAUCAUAUGAUCUUUGUCGCAACUUGUAAUUCCAACUAGAGAUUGACCCGCACGCCCGUGCGGGUGUUAAUUUUUACUUUCUUAUAAAUCGAUAUUUUAUUUUUAUGAUUAGUAUUAUAUAUUUUAUAUGUAUCAUAAUAUAAUUAAUUGCAUAAAUACUUUUAGAUUUCUAUACAUCAUAAUCAAACCUGAAUCAAAUAGAGUAAUAUGAUUACUUUUGGUUAUUUGGUUAUUUUUAGUUUAAUUUGAAUUCAACAUACCCGAAUUGAAUCUGUUAAUAUUCUUACUUUUCAUAUAAAUAUCCGUACCGGCGUCAAAUACAUUAGUUUUUGGAUAUUUGUAGGUUUGUAUAUAUCAAGACUGAAUUCAUCUGGACCCGAUUCGAAACACACAUGAAAAUUUAUAAUACCGAAAUGAAGUCUAGUUUCAAAACUCAAAAAGCAUGAUAACCCACAGAAAUAACUCGUAGCUGAAUAGUUAUCCGAAUGUCCAUGUCUAACCGAUACAUAAGUAAAUAAAAAAAAUUGUUAACCAUUUUGAAUUCUUAUCACAAAUAGAGUGGUUUCAUUCAAAUAUGUCGAAUUAUUAUAGUUAAUAUGUAAUUAAUCCUGACAAAAUAUUAUAGUAAAUAUAAUUAAUGAGAUAGUUAAAAAGUGAGAAAAUGAAUGUAAAAGAUAAAAUAAAAAAAUUGAAAACAAAUAAGUUUUGUUUUUCAUGUCACUAUUAUAUAUCAUAUAUAUGUCAUCAUAUAAUUAAUCAUAUUUUAUAUGUACCAUAAUAUAAGUAAUCAUAUAAUUAAUAUUAUUUUAUACAUACCAUCAUAUAAAUAAUCACAUAUAUUAUAUUUAUAAACUUAAUAUGAAAUAUAAAAACCAUAAUUUAAGUUGGUGUUUUUAAUUAAGUUAUGUAUUGUAUUUUUCUUAUAUAUAGUGAAAAUAUUUUUUAAAUGGUUAUUGGAAAAUAUUUUAGUAAAUUUUCUUAAAAUAUAUAUAUAUUUGAAUCAAUUAUUUAUAUAAAUUAAUUUUAAAUUAUUAUUUUGAUUUGAAUUUUGUAUAGAAAUAAUUAAAAUUGAGAAAAAUGAAUGUAAAAGAUAAAAUAAAAAUUGAAAACAAAUAAAUUUUGUUUUGUACUUCUGUAAUAAAUGAUAUUAACUUAUUUAGUAAAUAUAAUAGAUGAAGGGUUAGAAUUGAUUAACAAUAUAAUAAAAAUCUUUUAAAAAAUCAAUUAAGAUAAGCAAGUAUUAUUUUCUACUGCUAUCCAUGUUUCCAAACAAUUCUCAUUUAUACUACUAUCCAUGUUUCCAAACAAUUCUCAUUUAUACUAUUAUCCAAGUUUCCAAACAACUCUCAAAUGUACUUCAGUUUUAAUAAUAUAGAUGAAGUAUUUUUUAGCAAAUAAACAUACAGUUUCUGUCAGAAUUCAUUUUACAAACUAGUUUUUUUUCAGAAAAUUUUGAAUCACUCUAAUUUCUAUAUUUUAAGUAAUUUAUAUCAAACCCUGUAACAUGAACAUUUACAAAAUAAAUCUAUGAGAGAAAUGAAUUAUUAUAUAUUAAUCAAAAUGAAUGGGUACAAACUGAAAUAAAUUUGACAGCAGAUACCAAAGUAUCCCCAUAAAACUAUUCUCUACUUGUUCUGUUAGUCUUUUUCUUUUAUUGGUAUACACGCAUACAACUCACACGCACAUUUCUACAGUUGCAUCCUGGAUUAUAACAUGAUAAUGGUGUAAUCUACUAGGAUACAAAUCCGGUCAACUAGUCCUAAUUUUAACUCUUUAGUCCUUUUUUCUACCCAAGAGAUUCUGAAUAUUACACUGUAAUAGUAUUAGUCGGUUAAUUAGUCCCCCACUUUUUUUUUUGAACUGCCCUACUUCAUAUCUUACUAAAUAGUUUUUGAUCAUGCUGGAUCAUAUAUCAGAUUUCUUUCUGCGCCUGUUGAGUUGUUUGGUCAAUGUAUAUAUAUUUUUUGCGUGUGCUGCGUGCAUUGUAGUUUGAUGGAACCAUUGCGUCUGAUACAAUUAAUAUAUAAAUGAAUUAUGCGCUUGACGUAUACCAUGAACGAUUGGACCACUUACCUAUAUAUUUGUUAAGUGAAUGACUUCAUUAAUAAGGAAACCUAGUCUUAAUUUACACAUAGAUUAAUAAAAAUUUCGCUACGCAAAAUCUUUUAAGAUCGAAUCAUAUAUAUAGCCUUCAAUAAUUUGUAUUAUAAUAAACAGUGUGAAUAACUUAUUGUUUAUAAAUUGCAUGGAAAAAGUGAAAACACAGCUCAACAAAAUCUUUUCUCUUGUUGUCUAAAGCGAUUCAUACUAUCAUCUAAAUUCUAAUGCACUAUAAAAAUUUAGCUCACUGUUUGAUUUUACAAUGCAUAUAUAAUCCUUGAAUGUUAAAUUCAUCAGAGAAUCAAACAAACAAACAAAAUUAUUUUUCGAGUUUUUCCGGGCCAUCUAUUGCAGGUUAUAUGUGCUAAAGCCCGUUUGAAUUCAGAUAAUGCUUUAAGCUUUGUACACCUGAUUUGUGUUUAUUUGUAACAUCGGGCCUUAAUCUCUCAAAUAUUGAAUAUGGCUCAUAGUUUUGGCUGUUGUGUUUUAGUCAUUUCCGAUAGUUGAUGCUAUUAUUUCCCUUCCGGUACAUUUAAGAAAUGACAAUGUUUAGUUCUUCAAUACAACAUAAUGUUUGGGAACAGUUAAAACCAAAAAGUUAUGUGUUUUGAGUUUUCUUUUCUAUUACCAUCGUCGUAAUUAACGUUGUGUGCAGUUUUUGUAUAUCAUCUAUAGUUUUAGGUCUUUCUUUUUUUGAACAAAUAGUUUUAGGUCUUUGUAAUCUGUUUAUCGAGCUCAGUAUGUCUCAUAUAGAACUAGGUCGACUAGAACAAAGUCUGAUGCUGUAUUUAGAAACAGUCUUGACGCAAAAACAAAUGAUAAUAGACCAAAAUGUAAAACAUAGUCUGAAACAUCAAAUCAUAAGAAAAACCAUGAAAAUCAAAAUGACGAAAAAACAACCAGUUUGCACCCUGAAAUAGAUAAAGAGUAAACAAUAGUCCAACACCUCUUGACUCAAUCUUCUGAAACACCUACCUCCUUGAACACAAGGCCUGAGGUUCCUUCAUUAGGUUUCCCAUCUUUAUUUGUAACAAGAACUUUCAAACCAUCUCUAGUCUUCCCUUUGGAUACAGCAACAUACAUCGGUCCACGAGAGAGCACUUGCCUUGGUUGAUAGAUACCAAUUUUAGAAAGUGGCUGUCCUUCAUUUUUGUUUAUAGUCAUUGCAAACGAAACUGCCAACGGAAACUGCGUACGCUGCAUUUUGAUGGGAAAUUUUUCGUCUGUUGGAUGUGUAGGUAUCCUAGGGAUAAUGACUUCCUCCCCAAUCUUAGCACCUGUUAAAAUUCUAGCCCCAAGCGUGAAACCACCCAGUUGUGUAAUCUGAAGUCUUGUCCCAUUACAUAGUCCAUAGUUAGGCAUAAUGUCCUGUAGUAAGAUGACAGGAACACCAACCUUCAAUCUCAAACAAUGGUUAGGCAAUCCAGGGGCUUUGAUGCUAUUCAAAAGCUCUGGAGGGUAUCGCAUGUAGUCACUCGGGUGUGAAUUCAAUCGAGAAAUACUGUCAGCGCUCAGACACACCUUUUCUUCACCUGAUAUGAUAUUAAACAAAGUCUUAGUUAUAAUAUGUGCAGAAAAUGGCAAUAGAUAGAAAUAGAAAAUGAUCAAACAUAAAUAUUAACGCAUUACCCGAUAUCUGCGAAAGCAUAUAAUCAUUAAUCUGGUCCACAUCUUCAUUUGUAGAACACAAAAUAGCUUUCCCGUGAAAAAACCCAGGAUUAUAGGACUCUGGAAAAGAUUCUCCAUAAACUUUCUUCACUAAAGUUUUGAUAGGGUCCUUGCAGUCAGCUAUCAUCAAAUCUUCAAGAACAUCAAUUUCAAUAUUUCCUCUAUUUGACUCGUCGAUCGUUGCACCACCAAUAUCUUGAAUCCAUUUUGAAUAAGCUUCACCUAUAGUUGCAUGAAUAUUUGUCCCCUGGAAUUCAAUUAACAAAACCAUAAUUUAGAAAUUUAACAUACUAAAAGUCCAAACUAUAUAUUAAGGAACUAUACGACUCCAGUAACAACUAAGCGAAAACUACUUACACACAUUGACUAUGCUAUAUGCCAUAGUCGAUACUGUAGAUGAAAACAUAUAACUUGAAAUACGAAAGGCACAUUCUAUACCAGUGUUUUAUUUUUUACACGUAAAAGCUCAAAAAUAUGUUCGAUUGUUAGCCAUAAACUCAAAUUAAAUCAUUAUGUAGGUAAUAAAAAUCGAGAAUAUUGCAUCUUCAUCAUACCUAGCAUCCAGGUGAUUAGACUAAAAAAAGAGUAAUGAAUAAUCAAACAACGCUUACAUAAGUCAUCGAUUACUAUGUAUCAAAGUGCAAGUUAUUUUGAUGAUAUGCAAACAAUAAAAGGCCCGUUUUUCUACGAUUUUGUAAUUUGUAAACACUUUGUAACAAAAUCAACUUGAGAACAUGUAUAACUAGAAUCAAACCAUACCGAUGAAUCAAGUAAAACCAUAUCGACCGAGUUGCCUGAUUCAUUCUUAUCCCCCUUCCAUAUACGGAUCAUCUGCACUUUAAUCUUCCCUGGAUUGAUACCAUCGCGAGCAGCAGAAGAGGACGAGGCAGCAGGUUUUCGGACUAGCGCCAUUAUUUUAGCGGUUUGUGAAUGGGUUAGACGAGAAGGUCGUGGAGCUUUAUAUAGACUCACGAUAUACAUGUAACGUUUAUUAGAAUAUAGUAAUAUCGGUUACAGUGAUUAUGAUAGAUAAUUAAUUCCUAAAUUAAAUCCUAGUAGAUUUGGGAAAAAUUUCCGUUUCCUCUAUCUAGGUAGGUAUCUAGAUGGUUCGAAUACUAAAGUGCUAAACCAAUCAACUCUUUCUAAAAAACUUGGGUCGCAUAAAGUGGCGUUUUUGGACAACUCGUGGGCCGAAAUCAAGAAGUCUAAACCUCCUGAAGCCAGAAAGAAGAUUUUGGAGGACAUAGUGUUUAAUAGGCAUUGCUGACGUCGUCGUUAUAAAUAUUUGCUCUACUCCUCAACUUGAAGAAGCUCAAGUACUCUUACUGGGAGUACAAGGCUCGAGAGAACAAAACGGGUCAACUUCGUGAGCUUAAUUAGGAUCAAACGCAGUGUUUUUAAAACCGGACCGGCUGGCGAACCAGAUGUUUUUUUGGAUCAUGGGUCAUUGUGGUUCAACCGGGUUUGAACCGGAUUUGAUCGGGUUUACUUAGAUUAAACUAAAUUUUAUGAUAUUUUAUAAAUAGUAUGCAUAUUCUUUAAAAAAAAUCAUAUCAAAUAAAAUGUUUAAAUAGCCAUAAUGUGUAGAAAACUUAAAAAUAACAAUUAAAAUCUAAAAUCAAUAUGAAAAGUACAUUUAAACUUUAUUCGCAAAUCUUAUCACUUUAAAUCUUCAUCAUAUUUUAAGAAAAAAUUAUAUACACAUUAGGUAAAAGUUAGAUUUUGAAAUACAAAUUUCACAAACCUAAAUGUUUCAAUUAUGUAAAGUCUUCAAAACACUUGAUCAUUAAAUAAAAUUUAAACAAAGUGAGAAGUAGACAAAAACAAUAUCUUGACGUGAAUAUUAAACUUUGUGAAUCUUGUAAUUUAUGAAUUGCAAAGACGACAAAAGAAAAAGACGAGAGACGAUACUUUAUUAAUCUUUAAUAAAUCAUAUUUUUACUUAAAAAGAAGAAAAACUAAUUGUUUCAUUAACAAAAUUUUGGCUUAUAUGAACCGGGGUUUGUCCGGUUCAUUAGGUCGCCGGUUUCCGGAUUUUUGACGGUUUGAUAGGUGUUUUUAAUUGGUUCGAUUUUAGUUGGGUUUUAGCAUUAACCCUACCCUGAUUAUUUUUCGGUUUAUGGUUCAAACCGGUCCGACCGCCGGUUCGGUCCAGGUUUAAAAACACCGGGUCAAAGAGUCUCGAUAUAUUGAUGAUAACAGAGCAACGAGAGGGAGAAGGGUUUCUAUGAAGAGGUUAUGUGGUCAUAAGAUGGUUUAGCUAGAAGGAGUCACGCCAGUGCUAAAAGAAGGAACACAAGAGAGAAACGAAAGCAAAGAAAGAUGUGUGUAUAAAUCAACUGUAUGCGAAUAACAAUGAAGUAAGUUACUUGGAAAUCUCAAAAUAUUUUAUAACCAUUGUUUUUGCUAAGAAUGUAAAAAUUAUUUCAAAAAUUAAAUAUACAAUAUGUGUCUAACCAUAGUCUUCAUUCGUCAAUGUAAUGAAAGGUUUUUCAACAAAUCGAACGAUUUUAAGUUAUGAUUUAUCAGAUGUGAAUAUUCAUCAGAUUGAUAUUUAAUAUUUUACAUCUUUUUCAUAUUUUUCCCUUUUUCUUUUCACGUCCAAGUUCCAACGGUAAUUUUUGUAAAGAAAUUGUAAAUAAACCAUUACUGAGAGAUGUCAUUAUAUGGGCCCCCAUGUUGUGACCGUUAGAUAUCCCCACCAGUCCACCAUCAUUGGCGCAGCGAACCCCGGCACAACUCCCUCUAAUCCAACGGUCCAAAUGUUUCUUUUACUUUCUUUUUUUACUACUCCCUUUUUCUCGAUGAUAAAAGUAAUCAAACAAAAAAGAAUUAAAAUUGUUAAGAUCAUUUUUAUAAAAAUAAACGGUAUCCUUACUGAUCUAUAAGAUCCAAGAAACCCAGCUACACAUCUUUUCAGACCAUAAUUAAAUCCAAGAAACCCAGCUACCCAUCUUUGUAUACCAUAAUUAACCCGAACUUUUAGAAUAGAGUUUUUAGUUUCGGUUAAAAAUCGUUUCUUAGCUUUUAAUUAAGAAAAACUAAAAACCGUCUCUUAAUAAAAAAAUAUAAGAAUUAGUUCUUAACCAAAAAAUAUAAAAAAAAAUCAAAUCAUGAAUUAACCACAAAUUAAAAAUUUGGGUUAAUCAUAUUUUUAAAUCUUUUUUUUUGUCGGCAUCCUCUUAAGUCUAGAUAAGAUCAUAAGAGUGGAUUAAAAAAGUGAUUUAAAACUUACAUAAAGACAAAAAAUAGGAACUGAGAAGAAAACGGAUACUUGUAGCUUUUUUCGACUUUAAUUUAAUCACUUUUACCUAAAGAAGCCGUUGAGAUUAUAUAAUAUAAAGUCUUGAAACACAUUCACACUAGACAGUAUCAUCGAAGAAAACAACAAACAGUUUAGUUUCAUCAAACACUCUCACUUCACUCUCUCUCUCUCAUUUAUUUCUUCUCCCCAAGUUCUUGUCCUCUUCUUCUUCGUCCGUAACUCUAAUGGCUGAACCCCUUUGUGAAUCCUCCUUCGUCGGUGAUAUCGACACUUCGGCUCCAUUCGAGUCAGUGAGAGAAGCCGCCACUCGCUUUGGCGGAUUCGGCUUCUGGAAACCUUCUUCCCUUAACAACAUCCUCGAACCUUCUCAGGUCUCAUCUCUCUCUCUCUCUCCUUCUCAUCUUAGUUUCUAAGGUUUAUUUAUUGAAUUUGUUAGAAAAAGAUCUUGUCUUUAGUUGCUUUUCGUGAUGCUAAAGCUUAAAGUUUCAAACUUUGGUUACAGAACGAUGUGGACGAAGCUAACAUUGUGGCGAGUGAGUUAGAGAAGGAACUGAUCUCCAAAGAAGGAGAAGCUCUGAAAGUGCUGAAGUCUCUCGAGACGACCAAAGCCAUAGUCGAAGAGCUCAAAUCAAAGCUACACCGAAGAGAAGACAAAGAGAACUGCGACGUGAACGUUCUGAAAGAGCUAAACCAAGCCAAGACGAAUCUUUGCAAGACGACCGAAGAUCUCGCCGCUAUACGCGAGUCCGUCGAGUUACUGAACAAGAGACUUGAAGAGGAGCGAGCAGCGCUCGAGAAGACGCGAGAGAGGUUAAACUCCGAGAACGCGGCGGAGAUCUCAAAGGAGAUUGAGAGACUAAGUGAUGAUGCGUUGGAGUUUAGUAAAACAGGGGAGGAAGCGCGUUUUGCGGUUGAUAAAGCUGUGUGUGAGAUCGAACGGACGAGGAGCAAGAUCAAAGCCGCUGAGAUGCGUUUGGUCGCUGCUAGGAAGAUGAAGGAAGCUGCUAGAGCGGCUGAAGCGGUUGCAAUCGCUGAAAUCAAAGAUGUCACCAGGAGAAGAAGAAGAACAAGAGAGACGUUGCAGGAGGAGAUUCUUGAGAAGAUUGAAGAGACAGCACAAGAGAUCAGAAGCAGUAAGAGGACGAUUGAGGAAGGUCUGGAGAGAGUGAACAGCGCGAAAAUGGAAGAAGAGACACAAUGGCAGUGGUCAGAACGUAGGAGGAGAUCGUCUUCUUACAAGGGGAAGUACAAGAACAGGAGAGAGACGGUUCUGAUGGAUGUAAACGGUCUGGAUAUGAUGAUGAAUGGGGACGGGACAGCGUCUUCAGUUGCUGUCUUGAAACCAACGAUGUCUAUUGGGCAGAUACUCAGCAGGAUGCUACUUCUUGCGGAUGAACGAUGUCUAUUGGGCAGAUACUCAGCNNNNNNNNNNNNNNNNNNNNNCAGGAAGCUACUUCUUGCGGAUGAGGCUGCGAUGAUGAUGAAUGGGAGAGUGUCGUUGGGUCAGAUUCUUGGGAAGACUAACGUGAAAGAAAGAAGUGGUGAAGGGAAGGAAAAAGAGAAGAGGGUCAAUGGGAAGAGGAAGAGGUUCGGAUUGGCUAAGUUAUCUGUGAUGUUGAACAAAGAGUGCAAGAACAAGAAGAAGAAGAUAGUUCUGAACUUGAAGUGAUGAAGUGAGUGAGUGACUGAAUUGAAAAUGGUCUAAUCUCUUAUCUUAGGAGUUGUGUUAUGAUGUGUUCGUAAGUCUCGUAAUGUUAACAGUUGGUUUAUUGUGCUAAUAAUAAAUUCUGGUGUGUGAUCUGUUUUUUUAACAGUAAUACAAUACGAGUGUUUUAAUUUAAUGGUAAGAUUUUAUAAAUUAUUGUUUUUUUUUUUUGUCAAACCUAAAUUAUUGUUUUAGUGUAGUUUAUUAAUAAAUUUAUCUUUAGGUUUAAAAAAUCAAAAGUAGAGUUUUGGUUUUUAAUUGUAUUAUAAGUUUUAAACUAAUAUAAAAUAUGCCGUUAAUUUUUUUAUUAUUAAAUAUGUUUAUACUAUACAACGUAAAAUAUUGGUGAGAAUUUAACAUAUUACUUUACACCUUUAGUAGAUGUCAUUUUUUCAAAUGCAAGAUGAAAAAAUAGUGUUUUAAAGUAGGCACACGAUUUUGAUGUGUUGGUGAAAGUUAGUUUUGUUUAGUAUUUACACUGAAACGUGUAAAUCACUAAAUCAGGUAUGGAACACAUCGACUGGUUUCUCUCUAGUCCAGGCACAUAAUGUCGCGACUUAUUUGGCUUGGUCAAAUCCUACCAUCAAUUACAUGACUUAUUCUCUACAAUAAUUUUCUUUUCUGAUUCUGCAGACCCAAAUUUUUGGAUUGCGGCUCUGUUUUUCUUUACUUUAUUACUUAGACCGUUUGUUCCAUCCAUGGUCAGUUUGCCAUAACUUAGUCCAGGUCAAUGUUGUUUUUAGUUAACCAGGAACAUUUCUUAAACGAUUACAAGUGUUACAGCAUUCGAAAAAUAAAUUUCUCUUACAUCAAAACGUUCCUCAAGACAUAUUCUUUUAGGGCAAAAUUAUUUCAAAAACCGUCGUUACAAAAAAACCUGUGUAACACCCAUGUCAUCCUCACUUGAGAACGACAUGUCGCCACGCAACAACUUUUUUUUUUUUUUGAUCAAAAAUUCGACAUUUAUAUUAAUUACAUAAUAAAUCUAUAAAUCCAAUAACUAAAAUAACUGAAAUAAUAGUCGGUGAAAUCAUAAAACAAAAUUCUGAAAAAGAAAGAAAAAGCACCUAAAACAUCCAAGUAUGCAUUCCGUAGUCUACUCGUCCACCUGAAAAAGGAAAAAAAAGUAACAACGGAGUUAUUCAGAGAGGUAUGUGAUGCUAAAACCAAAAUCUAUAGAUUCGGACAUAGUAUUCUGAAUAAAUAUAUUUUAAUCCUAACACGUUACAAAUACGACACCUAAAAUACCGAGUCAUCAAGCAAUGGUCCUAGUUACAAGAUAAGUGCUCGUACACCCUUCAAUAGAGGCUUCUCCAUAAUGGAUGAUUCAUGUAUAAGACUAGUGCCUACAGACAUCGCCCAAAGACGCUUUAUCGACCUUUGGGCUACGACGCAAUAUGUCGACUUAAGCUGGCCGCAUCAUCCACCACAAUGUAUACAUCCAAUCUACAGAAGUACAUCUAUGUAUCUGACUAAUAAUCUUACAUCUCUUAAUACAAAACUAUAUAUAUAUAUCAGUUAUAAAUGAAACAAUGAAGGUUGAACCAUCUAAAUGUUAUAUCCGGUUUAAGCAAAAAAAAAACUAUUACUAUAUCAAGCAGACUCUAAAGAAAACUGAACAUAUAUAUUAUAACUAAACUAUAUUUUUUGAAGUCUGAGGCCAUGUGUGAAGAAUUAAAAAAAAUAACCCUCACUUUAGCAAUUAAAAAAAAAUGAUGUUUCUGAACUCUUGUUGCUCAAAUUGAUUCUAAAUCUGAAAUGAGAGCGAAAAAUCGAAUCAGAAUACCAUUCGAACGACAAAAAAUGAUAUUCACAUCAGGAAAAGUUAACAGUAAAUUGUUAACAAUCAAAAUCAACAGUUGGAGAUUCACACUGGAAAAGGGAGAUCUCAUCAAAAAGGUUUUAUAAAAACUUAGUAAAUGUUUUAGGGAAUUUUCCAUAUUUGGAGAUUUGGGGAAUAUCUCUUAUGAAGCUAUGUUUAUCAGAUUUGAUAUUAGGUAUAAAUAGUCAUAUUCAAUCUAUGUAUUAGGAUCAUCAUUUGAAUUGUAUUCUUAAUAUAAGUAUAGGUUUUUAUAAAUUUGUAAAGUGAAUGAAAGCACAAAAGAUUAAAGAAAGAUGUAAGAUUAUGUAUUCCAUAUUAAGACGCAUGACGGUAUGAGACUAGAUAAAUGAAACAAAAACAAAUCCUGAAUAUAUAUAUAUAUCUUUGUAAAGAUAUAUUUUGGCGUAUUUUGUAUCAUAGUUAGUUUUUGCAUUUACCAUUUCUACUAAUAAACCAUGUGAGGAAUAUAAUAAAUCACGAGCCUAGUGGAUGGGCUUAUUGACUUAGACAACAUGACGGUUGACUUCAAGUCCAUGGUGGGGAUUAUUGACUCAGACGACAUGACGGUUGACUUACAAGUCCAUGGUGAUUUUGGGAGUGUUCCACUUUGGUAUAAGUAGUUGUGAGCCAAUGUCGUAUUAUUACCACAAUACUUUUGUAUAAAUAAAUUUGCACUUGCUUCGUCUCAUAUAUUCACUUCCCUGCAAAUUUUGAGAUGCUCGAAAAUCUUUCUCAAAUACAAAAAAUGAGAAACAAAAGAGUGUUUCUUUUCAUUGCUCUCACCAUGUUACUUGAAGCAUAUGGUUUUACCGUUGAAACUGAUAGGAAAGCACUGCAGGAUUUCAAAUCUCAAGUUUCUGGAGACAAACAAGUUGUUUUGUCGUCAUGGAAUAACUCAGUCCAUGUCUGCAGUUGGAAAGGAGUUACAUGCGGCCUCAGACACAAGAGAGUCACUCGUUUGGACCUAGGAGGGUUGCAGUUAGGGGGAGUGAUAUCACAAUAUAUCGGUAAUCUUUCGUUUCUCAUAUCACUCGAUCUCUCUAAUAACACUUUUGGUGGAACCAUACCCCACGAGGUGGGAAACUUGCUUAGACUUGAUUACUUAGAUCUGAGCUACAAUUCUCUGGUAGGAGCGAUUCCAGUCAGCCUAUUUAACUGCUCUAGAUUGUUGGAACUCUAUCUAAAUUCAAAUCCUCUUGGAGGAGGUGUUCCUUCAGAGUUAGGGUCAUUGACGAAGCUUGUCAACUUGGAUCUUGAAAGAAACAAGUUGAAAGGGAGGCUCCCUGCAUCUUUUGGAAACUUGACAUCGCUAAUGAGAGUUAAUUUUAGGGAUAAUAGUUUAGAAGGAGAAAUUCCAGGUGAUAUAGGUAGACUGAAUCAAGUGGUCGAACUUUAUUUAGCAGUGAACAAGUUUUCUGGUGUUCUUCCUUCUGCAAUAUACAACUUAUCCUCACUUAAGUUAUUAACCAUCCGCGAAAAUCAUUUAUCCGGUUUCUUGAGACCUGAUUCUGAUAAGCUGCUACCAAACUUACGUUUUUUAAAUAUGGGACGUAAUUAUUUCAAAGGAGCCAUUCCAGCAUCACUUGCCAAUAUCUCGAAUCUUCAAAUGUUGUCACUAAAUGCCAACAACCUGACUGGAGGUAUUCCUUCGAGCUUUGGAAAAUUGCAGAAUUUGCAACUUUUGUCUCUUUUUAACAAUAGUUUGGGAAGUCACUCAUCUGGAGAUCUUGAAUUCCUUGGCGCUUUAACUAACUGCACCCAACUAAAAACUUUAUAUGUUUUCGGAAAUCAUCUUGGCGGUCACUUGCCAACCUCCAUUGCAAAUCUUUCCACCGACCUCCGAGUUUUAGACCUUGGAACAAAUUUCAUCUUUGGAAGCAUUCCUCACGACAUUGGGAAUCUGAUAAACCUACAAUCACUUGCGCUAGACGGAAAUCACUUAACAGGUCCAGUCCCGGCGUCUGUUGGCAAGCUUUUACAAUUAGAGGUGCUUGAUCUCGUUUCAAAUAGUAUAUCCGGAGAGAUACCAUCUUUUAUAGGAAACCUCACUCGAUUAGACGCACUAGUCUUGGCCAAUAAUAGCUUUGAAGGAACAAUUCCACCGAGUCUUAGCAAUUGUACUUCUCUACGCUAUUUAAUUGUUGAGCUUAAUAAGCUGAAUGGGACUAUACCUCAGGAGAUUAUGCAAAUUCAAUCCCUUGUUGAACUCGAUGUGGCAGGUAAUUAUUUGACUGGCUCUCUACCCAAAGAUGUUGGACGACUUGACCAUCUUGUUCAUCUAGCUGUUGAGAAUAAUAGAUUAUUCGGACAAAUCCCGCCUUCAUUGGGAAAUUGUCUCACGAUGGAAUUACUCUCUCUGCAAGGAAACUAUUUUGAUGGAGUCAUUCCUGAUAUUAAAGGGUUGGAAGGUCUUAAAGAACUUGAUUUCUCUAACAACAAUCUCUCUGGAAGUAUACCUAGAUAUCUUGCAAACUUUUCUUCGCUGGAGUAUCUCAAUCUAUCUGUUAAUAAUUUUGUGGGAAGUGUGCCAACAGACGGGGCAUUUCGGAAUGCUACUAUAGUUUCAGUGUUUGGUAACAAAAAUCUCUGUGGAGGCAUAAAGGAAUUCAAACUAAAGCCAUGCUUUACUACUGAAGCACCACCAUCAAUGGGGUCAAAGCGUUCCUCUCUUUUAAAGAAAGUUAUGAUCGGGGUCAGCGUAGGCAUAACUUUGCUUUUUCUGCUCUUCGUUUCUUUACUUUUGAUCAGAAAAAGAAAGAAGACCCAGCAGACCAAUAACCAAUCUCCUUCCACAUUGGAAGUUUUCUUCCCAAAGAUGAGUUAUGGAGAGAUCCGGAAUGCGACUGAUGGCUUCUCUUCGAGGAAUAUGAUUGGGUCAGGAAGUUUUGGUACCGUCUUUAGAGCAUUUCUCCCUGCUGAGAACAAGGUUGUUGCUGUGAAAGUUCUCAACAUGCAGAGACGUGGAGCAAUGAAGAGCUUUAUGGCAGAAUGUGAAUCUCUUAAGGAAACAAGACAUCGUAAUCUUGUGAAAUUAUUGACGGCUUGUUCGAGUAUUGAUUUUCAAGGAAAUAUGUUCAGAGCUCUCGUCUAUGAGUUCAUGCCUAAUGGAAGCCUUGAUAUGUGGCUUCACCCAGAGGAAGUGGAAGAGAUUCGUAGGCCCUCGAAAACCUUGACACUUCUUGAAAGGCUCAACAUUGCCAUUGACGUGGCUUCUGUUUUGGACUAUCUUCAUGUUCAUUGUUAUGAACCUAUAGCGCAUUGUGAUAUUAAGCCAAGCAAUGUCCUCCUAGAUAAUGAUUUGACUGCCCAUGUUAGCGACUUUGGUCUGGCUCGUCUUCUCCUCAAUUUCGAUCAAGAGUCCUUCUUCAAUCAACUAAGCUCAGCUGGUGUUAGAGGAACCAUUGGCUAUGCCGCACCAGGUAAAAAUAUCACACAUGUGUAAAGUUUUAUAAAAAAAAAUUAAGUAUUCUUUCUUCAUUACAAUCUUGUUUAUGUGAAUUAUGGUGCAGAAUAUGGAAUGGGAGGGCAGCCAUCAAUACAUGGUGAUGUAUAUAGCUUUGGAGUUCUGGUUUUGGAAAUGCUCACCGGAAAACGACCAACUGAUUAGUUAUUUGGGGGAACUUUACUCUCCACAGCUACAUCAAAUCUGUGUUGCCAGAGCAAGUGUUGGAAAUUGCAGACAAAUCGUUUUUUGACAAUGGUCUGAUAGUUGGUUUUCCUAUUGCUGAGUGCUUGACACUGGUUUUGGAUGUGGGACUUAGGUGUUCUGAAGAAUCACCGACAAACCGGCUGGAAAUGAGUGAAGCUACAAAGGAGUUAAUCUCAAUCAGAGAGAGGUUCUUUAAAGCCAGAUGAACAGCCAGAGUUGAAGGGUUUAUGGUUUCCUCUACAAACUUUAAAACUUACUUAAAAGCCUAUUAUGGUACCUCUAAAAUACCAUUUCCGUAAUGUGUGUUUUCUUCUUCUAUGUACUUUUAUAUGAUUGCAGAAUAUUGUUUAUAAGUGCUUGUUAUUUUCAGACAAAAGAUGAAGAUGAAUGUUAUGUUACUCGCUUUACACUAGAGUUUUUUUCUUUUCCUAUUAUGCCUUGAGAUUCUGUUUCUUAUAUUUUCAAACAUAAGAGUUAGGAAGGAAAUUGUGCGGUCGUAUAUAUUUGUGUACGUAGCUUGAAAUAUCACUUGACAACAAAUAAAAAUAACGAACCAAUCGAUUUGUUGCAUAAGACUUGUCACAUGGUGAGACCAUAAGAUUUGAUUUCAAUCUUCAGCUCUCUUUUAUAUCCAGAUGGCUCAACCUAACCAAUUUUUUUAAAACAAAUUAAAUACUUAAGUCUAACAUAGUAGGUGCAUAUACUUGGAUCGUAUGGACGCUGGAUGCGCAACACUCAAAAGGUUUUUGAUCAACUGUAUGAGGCAAAAAAGGAGCUCUUGUGUUGUGUGUGCUUGUUAGUUUUUUUUGUUGUUGUAGAGAAAGGCAAACUCUAUUGGCAGAUAUCUCCAAGGAGAUUGAGAGACUAAGUUACGCGCGGAGCCAGAAAAUAUUUUUAUCAGGGUGAUAAUUUAAAUUAAUUAAAUUAAAAUUUAUUUAAAAUAUAAUUUAUUAAUACUAAUUUAAUUUUUUUGUAACAUAAAAUAUUAAGCUGUUUUAAUUUUUAGGAGAACUUAUAUUUGAAACAAAAAGUACAGUACUGAAGAUAUUUAAAAAUAAUAAUUGUUAAAUAAAGCUUUAAUACAAAAGUGGAAAAUGAACUAAAUAAAUUGCAAAACAACUGAAAUAAAAAAAUAUGUGCAAAAGAAAUAUAUCCUCUAUAAAAAAUAUUUUAAGAGAUCCCAAACAAUGAGAACGUAAACAAAUAAAAAACAUAUAAGAAAACAUUUGAAAAGCAACAAAAAAAACUGGUUUGACUUAUAUGUUUAUUUUAAACCAGUCUUUUUUUUAACGUCUGAUUAAUUAUGCUAUUACAACAAUGAGAAAUAUUACAUAGACAAUUCUACAGCCGACAUAUGAGAUCCAUGUUCGAUGAUACGCCAUCACCAUGCUGAAGAUCUCUUGUAAUACUUUUUCUCUAUAAUCUGCAUAAUUUGCAUUUUCUGGUGUUUGAACCCUAGACUUCAUGGUGUAGAAGCAUUAAUGAACCCUUAUUCAAACUACUAAACUAAAAAUCCUACCAAAAAAAAAAAACUACUAAACUAAAGAAGUUUAUUUUAAACCAGGGUUUAAGCUCUAAUUAUUAAAAAAAUAAAAAAAUAAAAGAAUGCAGAGAGGAUAAUCAAUUUUUAGAUAAAAGGGGUCAAAACAAAGGAAAUAGACAAACUGAGCCACUAUUAUUCACAGUUCUAAGUUUAAAAUAGUUUUUCAUAUUUGACUGGGGUCAGUUGACCCCUCUCCUGACCAUGUAGCUCUGCUCCCGAAGUUACAAAGCAUUGGAGUUUAGUAAGUCAGGGGAGGAUGCUCGUUUUGCGGUUGAUAAACAACAGAAUAUAUUUAAAAAUUAUCUUAUGUCUUAAAACAUGUUUUUAUUUUUUGAAAAUUUUAUUAUAUUUAUGUAUAAUCAAUUAUCUAAUAUAAUAUAUAAAUAUAAUAGUAUUAAUAUAAAUUCGUUUAUAAUUAUUUUUAUUUUAGAUAAUUUUUAUUGUUAUUAAUUUUAGUUACUUAUUUAAUCAGAUAUAUUUUAAAUUUGUUUUAUUGUUGACUAAUUUAUACACUAGAUUUAUUAAUGGUAUAAAUGAUUUAUUAUUAAUUUUAAUCACUUUUUAAUCGGAUAGAUUUGAAACUUGUUUUUAAUUUUUGACUAAUUUAAAUAAUUGAUUUAUUAAGGUUAUAUACGAUAUUAACCGCUCUAACUUUUAACGUGAGAGCUCUGUUGCAAAAUUUUACUUCGCAAAUAAUAGUCUAGACUAGAUAAAUAAGGAGAUAAAACUAACUUUAAAUCCAUAAUAAAUGGAAAUAUAAAUUUUUUUAACAAACUAAUACUAAAUAAACCAACAAAUUUUGGUUUUCUAAUAUUAUAAAUUAUUAUUAAAAAUAAAAUAAAAAUCAAACAGUUUAAUUUUCUGUAUUAUUAAAAAAGUAUAUCAAAAUUUAUUUUUAAUAAAUUCUUGGAUUUUUAUCAGCUCAAUCAAUAUCAAAUCACAUGUUAAUGACGGGUUUGAGUUUUUAUCAAUUUUCGAACCGAUAAAGAACACCUUGCCUAGUAGAUAAGAAAUAAAUAAUAGUUUGUCGGCAUAUAUGUAUUCGAAUAUAAUAAUAGCAACAAGGUGAUGAUAACGUGAACAGAUGAUUGAUUGCUUGUGGUUUGAGAAAACCUCUCUCAAUUAUUUGACCUACCAACAUUCAUACGCAAACAACCAAUUCCAACGGAUCUGCUUGUGAUUGAAACCUUCUUCUUCUCCCAAGCCAGAGUCUGCUAAUCAUUUUUCCUGGAAAAGGUAUAAAUCUUGUCUUUUUAUCUCAGGUUGAAUUUUCUUACCAUCUUGACUCUGGUUCCGCGCAGAUAACCUCAUGUAAAGAGUUUUGGUUGAAUCUUUUCUAACCUUCUGAUCUUCUUGACCAGGAGGAAUCAAUGGGACCAAAAGCUGGAACGUUGGUUAUCAUCUUGCUGGGGUUGACCUUGCUUUCCGACGCUAGAUCUUUCCUUCACUCUUCCCUAGACUCAGGUACCAAUACUAAGACCAAAAUUUCGGGUGAAAACACCAUCGCUAUCUGAUUGAUGCUAUAGAAGCUUUCACUUAAGAGUUCCGUUUUAAUGAAAUAGUUUGGCUUCGAUCCCCUCAAAGUAUGGCUCAGAUUGUGUAAUAAAAAGCUUAUGAUGGCUUUAAUAUUUUCAAGACUUUCAACCUUUUUCGUCUUGACUUUUGUUCAGAGAAAGUUAUAAAGAAUGAAAAGGUCUGCACUCUGUGCGAGGAAUAUGUUAACGUUGCUAUCAGUUACCUUGAGAAUAACCAAACACAAGCUCAGAUAAUCGAGGACCUUCAUGAUCGCUGUUCCCAUAUGCGCGGUUUUGCACAGCAGGUUUGAUAAACUUUUGCCUCUGUUUCGUCUGUGUGUGUUGAAUUGGAUGAUGAUUAAGUUUUUUUUAUCUGAUGCAGUGCGUAACUUUGGUUGACUACUAUGUCCCUCUUUUCUUCAUACAACUUGAGUCGUUUCAACCUGAAGAUUUCUGCAAGAGGAUGAAUCUUUGUGACAAAGUGGCUGCUCUUGUUGAAGAAGUCCGUCAGGAUAGUUGCGCUGUAUGCCACAAGACUGUUUCAGAUAUUCUCAUCAAACUCCAAGAUCCCGACACACAGGUUAGUACUUAGUAGUAAUAACUACAAGAUGAUGUUUAAUUAAUUAUGCAUUCUGUGUCAGAGACUCAUCAUAGUUGAUAUACUGAUGCAUUCUGUGUCAGAGACUCAUCAUAGUUGAUAUACUGACUUUGUUUUCGGUUUGAUUAUCCAGUUGGAUAUAGUUGAGCUACUUCUCAAGGGAUGCAAAUCAUUCAAGAACUAUGAGAAGAAGGUUAGAAUUAAUCAAGUUUCAAUAGAUAACAACUCAACUUAACAACCCUGCCUGGUUGUGUUUCCUUCUGUUUCUUUGGUUGGUGUUCUUCUCAUUUUUACCAAUGUUGUGUAUAUGUUACUACAGUGCAAGAAGUUGGUGUUCGAGUAUGGACCUCUCAUCCUCGUAAAUGCAAACGAUUUCUUAGUGAAAAAUGACGUCUGCAAACUCUUACGCGCAUGUCCAGACGAGAAAACGGUUCUAACGCAGCCCGGGACGGCAGAUUCUUGAAUGUUAAAAAUGAUGGCUGCAGGAAAUACAACCGCUGUGUGUUUUGCAUAAGAACAGUUGGAGACUUUGUGAACUGUCUGUAUGUAUGGACGGACUUAGACACACAUUCCCUUCCGUAAACGUUUCUUUACGUUUGUGUAAAUAACGAUUGCUUCAAUUGUACCUCUUAUAAUAAAAUGAUUGUCUCCUAUUCAUGUUCUUGACAUGUUUAGAACAAUGUGAAAGAGGACAUUUGUUGGAGGCGGGUUUUAUCCUACUUCAUACCCGGUCCGAGAAUCCGGUCCAGUAGCAUUAAGGUCAGAUAAACGAUAAAAAGCCUGUUAAGGUUCAACGACCAUGUUGAGCUGAAGAGAAGAUCUACGCCGAGCUAGAUAUAUUCAAACCAACACAUAAGGGCGGUCAAAGCAAUAAAUACAGUUAUCAAAGCACCUGAUAUACGCCGGAGAUCACUCCACCAUUACGGUCUCCCUCGUCUAACACCUAUAAAAAAAAGAGACCAUGAGAAAGAAGAAGGGCAUCCGAUUUUCUUCCAUAAUAGACUUUAUUCUCAAGACUUCUAAACUCUCUUUAGUUCAUUAUAUCGGACCUCUGACCAGGCUGUAACCGAUCUGUAUUGUAGAACUUCUAUAGGUGCCUUACUGCCUUGGUGAGACAACACCUUUUGCCGAAAGAAGCAUCUUUUCAGUUCACUCAUUGUGCCCUGUGUGACCUUAAGCACGACCUUUUUGAAUCAAAUGUCAGGUAUUUCCCGCUAACACUUGAGAAGCACAAAACUACCAAGCAUCCUAAGAAACUCAAAUUGGUUAAUGAUUAAACAAAAUCACUCGGACCUAAUACCGAUUCUGAUACAUGAUAAGUCGAACCACGUUCUCAUCUUAUUUAACCCAUAAAUAAGCCAGACCUUCCUGCAACCGGUGUUGUAACUUUUACAUAUCAAUCAAAACAGGUCCAGCCCAGCGCUUUGUACUGCCUAAAGGAAAAUAAAUAAUUGGCACCCUCUUGCAUUUGAACAGUGCACCUGUUACCAAUUAUUGCACAACAUAACCACUAAACUAUAUACAACUUUUGGCAAUUUUGAUGCCUUUAAAUGUUUAAUCUAAUUUGGCGCCUAAAGUACCUGCUUCCCCAGCUUUAUGUCAGGGCCGGACAUGAAUCAAAAGCCUUGGCAUACAUAAACAUAGUACCCCAUAAGUAAUCAAAGAUGAAAGACUGUCGACCAAAAGCAAAAGCACAUCUAAAGAAACAAAUUCAUUUGGAUAAAAAGCAUGUCGAUGGAUUAAAACCCUCCCUGGUACACCAAGUAUAAAAAACAAAAAAGAAAAAGCAAAACAGAAGAAGCCAACUCUCGGGCUAGCUCAGACGAGAUAGUGGCCCCAACAUCCACAAAAGAGAUCGAGGAGAGGUUCGAGCCAAAUUGAUCCACGAUCAAGGGCUCCCUAACAGCUGUUGCAUCAGUCAUAUUUUGGUCAGCGGGAGGAUUCUCACAGGACUGGCUAGGAUUUUUAUCUUGACCAAAUCUAGGCCUGAGAGCAUCAUUAUAUAGAGUUUCUUAGAGCGGUGUUAUUAGGGGAAUAUAAGAAACGGUUUCUUAUAUUCCCCUAAGAAUCCGCCCUAAGAAAUCCUGGAUAAUGAUGCUCUGACCUCUCCAUCAUCGAUUAGUCCCAGCUCGAAAAUCGAUCUCAGUGGGAGACUGCUGCAGCUGGAACCGCCUGAAACCGUAGAAACCCUCAAUCUCUCUCUCUCUCUCUCAAUUAAAUCGAUCUAUAUCAAUUGCAUCAAUGUCCGCCUGGAAUUCCUUAUAAGCUUAAACCCAUAUCACCUGAUCUGCCUCGAGACCAACUAUCCCCUUGCUGAUAGCUCGUCAAUCAGACCACUCUGAGCAACCAUCAGGGACAUCAACAAGGCGCUCUGCUGAACAACCUCGGAGUCGACCAGAGUCCUCAUGAUCUUGUUAAAACAAAUCUUGUACUUCUUAACCACCACUUGACGAGUUCUCUUCUCCGACCUCUGGAUCUCCUUCCCCUUCGAGGCAACCAGCUUCUAAAGCUCUUCCUCAUGAGCCUCUACCCCAGCAUAAGCCGAUUGCCGAGCUGCUCUUUCUCCUGGCAUGUGUCUGCUAGAUCUUUUAUGAGACCGGCUUCACGCUGCUCAGUUGUGAUAUUAGCCUAUACCCUUCGCACUUCACUCCUUUGAUGGAGUCGCGAAGACAUGACUCUUAAGCCUCGAGCUCUUUGAUCUUCUCAUCUUUGGUCUUCUCGGUGACCUCCAGUUGGCCAAGCUAAGUUUCCACUUUCCAGAACAAUGAUGCAGGUGGACACCUCGUGGUUUUGUCUUGCUCCGCCCUCAACGUAUCCUUACAUUAAAGGGCCUCCUUCUCGACUAUAGUUGUUUUGCUCGAGCUUCUCAGAUCUUGUACUCAUAGAAGGUGCGAUUACUGUUCACCUAGCCCAUGUGCUGCCAACAAACAAUGCCGGUUUCAAAAGACACAGAGAAAAAAUUACAUUACAAAAUUUUAAAUUAAGAAAAUGAUUACCAAAGCUUUAGAUCAGCAGACGCCCUCAUAAAUACCAUUCCCAGUAAAAAAUUACUCCGAUAAACAAAGAUCGUCAGCCAGGCGAAUCUCUUGGUGAAUACGCAGACAAGCCUCCCCCUCAUCAGGCACAGGAGUGUUAACUGGAAACUCAAAAAGAAAUGGCGUACUCGCCCUUUUGAGUAAAAGCAGAACCCGAACCGAUCCAUUCCAUAAAAAGUAAAUCCAAACCGAAGUGAACCCCGCAUAAUAUUAGAUUGUUUUACAGUAUUUUGGGUUUUUUGUUUUCUCCGAACUGAACCCGAAUCCAAACGAAUAUCCAAAUAAACUAUUUUUGAUAAUUAAUCAAAUAUUGAGAAUUUUAUAUUUUGACAAUUGCAGUUAAAGUUUGAUUAUAAUUAUUUUUUCUUCAAAAGUUUCAAAACUAUUUUUUAAGUUUCAUUGAUGUUUCAUGUGUUAAUAGAGUUGUUAGUUGUUAAUUUUAACUUGUAUAUGUUUCUCCCUUCCUAACAACCACAUUAUGCCAUCAAGCCUUUGUUAAUGUAAUUGUUGAAAUUGAUGAAAACUUAAAUAUGUAUUUUUGAGUCAUAAUAAGUAUAUGGAUAAUUAAAACCCAAAUUAGAACCGCAAUCGAAUUUAAAACGGGUUCAACCGGGUUAAAAGUGUGUUAAUAUAUAUCCGAACCACACAGCGUAAACUCGAACCAAACUUUUAUAAUAUUCUAAUAAAACUAAAUUUGUGCUCCCAAAAAAUCUAAAUCCGAAUUAACUCCGAACUGAACUGGUUGGACACUCAAUCGCUCAUGCCUACCAACUUUUUACCCAAAAUAAUACAUAACAAAUUUUCUAUUUUAAAUGCACCACACUUAAUGGUCCAUCCAGGUUAGAGAAUUUUGAUAAGAGAUUUACACUGAGAAAUUAUGAGAAGGAAUCGGUAAACUAAUUAUAUACGAUACUACUUUUUCAAAAAAUGUUAUUAGACAUUUUGUGUAUAGUUGCAAUGUAGAUUAACAGAAAUAAAAAUUUAGGUAAUUAAUUUAAAAAUAGUUUUCUUAAUUCUUGUUGUCUGAGUUUUUUUUCUUGGUCAAAAACCGUAGCUACCAUUCAUCGUCCUAAUAAAACUUAAGUCAACAAUCUAGAUAACCAUCAUUUUUUUUGGGUGUAAAUGUUAAGAUUCAUACCAAUUUUCUGAAUUUUACAUGGUUUGUGGCAAGCUACUUAUUACAAGAGAGAACAAGAAGAAAGACACAAUUAACUAUAAGGAGAGAUGAACCAAAAAUAUAGCUGAAGCAGAGUCGGAGAAGACACAGUCGCUGAGGGGAAAGACAAGAGCCUGUCACGGAUAGCACGAUCGAUCACAUGGAAGAAGGCUGGAGGAGACAAGAACGAGCCGCGGAAAAUAGCCAUUAAUCAAAGAGAACUAGUAAGGAAUAACAGGCUGAUCCUAAAAAAGAAGAAAAAAAAACACGCUAAACCGAUUACAAACACACCUUUAUUACAAGAUUCCCUUCCCAAACACUUAUAAGCGACAUAUUAUUUUUUAAAGCUGACAUAAACAUAUAUUUCAUGUCUGUUAUGACUUAUGAGCUGCCCGUAGACCCAUGUUUGCAUCGGUUGUAGAUGGUACAUUGGCUGUUCUGCUGACUAUAGAUUGCGGUGCAGAAACGAUUCAUUGAAGAAGGACAUGCUGCCGGACGGUUCAUGGUGGAAUAGGCUAAAUAUUUCUUCUUAUCCGGCACAAGGGAGACCCAAAUUACUUCUUCACUAUCUUCAUGAACACCCGUGAGAUUUUGCCAGCCAUUUAGCAUAUUCCCUGAGGUUGCAACGGCAAGGAGCAGAAGGACGGAAAAAGCUAUUGACUUCAUUUGUCCAACUAUUUGUCUGGCUUUUUUAUCUUUGGUGUGAGAAGGGAUAGGGAAGAUAGAUAUAAUGAUAGACUGAAAACUUUGGUUGGUCCAUAUUUAAUAUGAACUUAAUGAUUGAAUUAUCAUGUGCUGGAACGCAAGAAAGUAAAUAAGUGAAAAUUAAUAUAU
RNAcentral lists this long non-coding RNA (23901 nucleotides) under Brassica napus (rape). RNAcentral's name for it is "long non-coding RNA (BNAP_LNC008153)". The record is from RNAcentral. Lineage: Eukaryota; Viridiplantae; Streptophyta; Magnoliopsida; Brassicales; Brassicaceae.